This 903-nucleotide small RNA is filed under the name Saccoglossus kowalevskii. Its description in RNAcentral is "aristaless homeodomain transcription factor". Lineage: Eukaryota; Metazoa; Hemichordata; Enteropneusta; Harrimaniidae. The record is from RNAcentral.
UCCAGGUGUGGUUUCAAAACCGAAGAGCCAAGUGGCGAAAGAGGGAAAGAUUUGGUCAACUUCCGGUCCGGCCACCUGGUAUUAAUGGAAAUGCCUACGAUAUGCCAUUUACACCACGGCCAGAUGGUUACACACAGCAUCCCUGACGCGAUAGACGGAAUCAUGUAGCAAUACAUCCCUGACACGAUAGACGGAAUCAUGUAGCAAUACAUCCCUGACACGAUAGACGGGAUCAUGUACCAAUACAUCCCCGACACGAUAAACGGAAUCAUGUAGCAAUACAACCCCGACACGAUAGACGGAAUCAUGUAGCAAUACAUCCCUGACACGAUAGGCGGAAUCAUGUAGCAAUACAACCCUGACACGAUAGACGGAAUCAUGUAGCAAUACAUCCCUGACACGAUAGACGGAAUCAUGUAGCAAUACAUCCCUGACAUGAUAGACGGAAUUAUGUAGCAAUACAUUCCUGACACGAUAGACGGAAUCAUGUAGCAAUACAUCCGAACGCAAUCAUGUAGCAGUAUAUUCCCGACACGAUAGACGGAAUUAUGUAGCAAUACAUCCCUGACACGAUAGACGGAAUCAUGUAGCAAUACAUCCCUGACACAAUGGACGGAAUCAUGUAGCAAUACAUCCCUGACACGAUAGACGGAAUCAUGUAGCAAUACAUCCCUGACACGAUAAACGGAAUCAUGUAGCAAUAUAUCCGAAUGCAAUCAUGUAGCCAUAUAUUCCCGACACGAUAGACGGAAUCGGGUUAAACUUAGAGUUGACCCCACAAUAUGCACAUGCAAAAUGCACGGGAUAUAUUGUUUAUAUUGCAAAUCAUUGAGACACAUAUUCAUGUCUGUCCCUCGAUGUUUCUAUGGUUAUAGUAAUAAAAUGAUGUGAUAAUCUUUAUAA